Molecule: ribosomal RNA, 267 nt
Filed under: Globigerinoides ruber ruber
Lineage: Eukaryota; Foraminifera; Rotaliida; Globigerinidae
Description: partial small subunit ribosomal RNA
Source: RNAcentral
UUUGGUUUGGGUAGUGGUCCUACGAUGACUGUGAACUGUCAUGUCUUCGGAUGUGCGACUAUCGGUCUAGGAUCGCAUCUCAGCCCCUGGGACUCUUUUGAACGCAACGGACGUGAUUGCAACCCCUUGUUGAGAUUAGAGGAGUCUCGAUAUUCAUUGGCCAAACUUACCGCUUCGAGCUUGCUCGUGCAGUUUUGUUAGCCGGUGGAUAAACUCGGGGGACUGCUGACUAUAACCAUUUCUCAAAACAGAGGAAGGAUGCGGCAA